CUACAUACAAGAAGAAAAAUAACAAUACUAACAGUUCAAGCUGAAAUAAAGAUGAAAUGUCAAGUGGAUUGAUACUCAAGACUGAAGCUAGAGAUUUAUAUACUAGUUUUAAUUUUUUGAAAAAUAAUUCUUUUAAAUUUUGACUGCAUGUAUUUAUGGCGAUUUGAACUGUCA
Molecule: long non-coding RNA, 174 nt
Filed under: Amphimedon queenslandica
Lineage: Eukaryota; Metazoa; Porifera; Demospongiae; Haplosclerida; Niphatidae
Description: uncharacterized LOC109592775
Source: RNAcentral